UACGUAGGGUGCGAGCGUUAAUCGGAAUUACUGGGCGUAAAGCGUGCGCAGGCGGUUUUGUAAGCCAGAUGUGAAAUUCCCGGGCUUAACCUGGGAAUGGCAUUUGGGACUGCAAGGCUCGAGUGCGGCAGAGGAGACUGGAAUUCCUGGUGUAGCAGUGAAAUGCGUAGAUAUCAGGAGGAACACCGAUGGCGAAGGCAGGUCUCUGGGCUGACACUGACGCUCAUGCACGAAAGCGUGGGGAGCAAACAGG
Molecule: ribosomal RNA, 253 nt
Filed under: uncultured bacterium
Lineage: Bacteria
Description: partial 16S ribosomal RNA
Rfam family: Bacterial small subunit ribosomal RNA
Source: RNAcentral